UGGCGAACGGGUGAGUAACACGUGGGCAAUCUGCCCUUCACUCUGGGACAAGCCCUGGAAACGGGGUCUAAUACCGGAUAACACUCUGUCCCGCAUGGGACGGGGUUAAAAGCUCCGGCGGUGAAGGAUGAGCCCGCGGCCUAUCAGCUUGUUGGUGGGGUAAUGGCCUACCAAGGCGACGACGGGUAGCCGGCCUGAGAGGGCGACCGGCCACACUGGGACUGAGACACGGCCCAGACUCCUACGGGAGGCAGCAGUGGGGAAUAUUGCACAAUGGGCGAAAGCCUGAUGCAGCGACGCCGCGUGAGGGAUGACGGCCUUCGGGUUGUAAACCUCUUUCAGCAGGGAAGAAGCGAAAGU
RNAcentral lists this ribosomal RNA (360 nucleotides) under Streptomyces sp. RNAcentral's name for it is "bacterial SSU rRNA". It matches the Rfam family "Bacterial small subunit ribosomal RNA", at positions 96 to 457 of the family's 1533-position model. Lineage: Bacteria; Bacillati; Actinomycetota; Actinomycetes; Kitasatosporales; Streptomycetaceae. The record is from RNAcentral.